This 440-nucleotide ribosomal RNA is filed under the name uncultured bacterium. RNAcentral describes it as "partial 16S ribosomal RNA". It matches the Rfam family "Bacterial small subunit ribosomal RNA", at positions 338 to 795 of the family's 1533-position model. The record is from RNAcentral.
CCUACGGGAGGCAGCAGUAGGGAAUAUUGCUCAAUGGGGGAAACCCUGAAGCAGCAACGCCGCGUGGAGGAUGAAGGUUUUCGGAGUGUAAACUCCUUUUGUUAGAGAAGAUAAUGACGGUAUCUAACGAAUAAGCACCGGCUAACUCCGUGCCAGCAGCCGCGGUAAUACGGAGGGUGCAAGCGUUACCCGGAAUCACUGGGCGUAAAGAGCGCGUAGGCGGGGUAGCAAGUCAGAUGUGAAAUCCUAUGGCUUAACCAUAGAACUGCAUUUGAAACUGUUAUGCUAGAGUAUGGGAGGGGUAGGUGGAAUUCUUGGUGUAGGGGUAAAAUCCGUAGAGAUCAAGAGGAAUACUCAUUGCGAAGGCGACCUGCUAGAACGUAACUGACGCUGAUGCGCGAAAGCGUGGGGAGCAAACAGGAUUAGAUACCCUUGUAGUC